Molecule: ribosomal RNA, 429 nt
Filed under: Gemmatimonadota bacterium
Lineage: Bacteria; Pseudomonadati; Gemmatimonadota
Description: Gemmatimonadetes bacterium partial 16S ribosomal RNA
Rfam family: Bacterial small subunit ribosomal RNA
Source: RNAcentral
UAGGGAAUCUUCGGCAAUGGACGAAAGUCUGACCGAGCAACGCCGCGUGAGUGAAGAAGGUUUUCGGAUCGUAAAACUCUGUUGUUAGAGAAGAACAAGGACGUUAGUAACUGAACGUCCCCUGACGGUAUCUAACCAGAAAGCCACGGCUAACUACUUGCCAGCAGCCGCUGUAAUUCGUAGGUGGCAAGCGUUGUCCGGAUUUAUUGGGCGUAAAGCGAGCGCAGGCGGGUUCUUAAGUCUGAUGUGAAAGCACCCGGCUCAACCGGGGAGGGUCAUUGGAAACUGGGAGACUUAAGUGCAUAAGAGCAGAGUGGAAUUCCAUGUGUAGCGGUGAAAUGCGUAGAUAUAUGGAGGCACACCAGUGGCGAAGGCGGCUCUCUUGUCUGUAACUGACGCUGAGGCUCGAAAGCGUGGGGAGCAAACAGG